AUGACAUAACCAAAGUUUCAGUAGAGGCGGGUCGUUAAUCCUAUAGCGCUACAUAUGUCAAGGUUUGGCUCGUACGAAGUUAAUGAUAAGUUCAACACAUAAGAAUCACCCAAAUUUAAAGUAUCAAGCCAUCACAUAUACAAGCAUGUUAUAGGAAUGUUCAUGUGUUUAGACAAAAGUUCAUGUGUAAGUUUCAAUAGGUAAACAUGUUACACCCCCAAAAGUGGUAAAAGUAAAAAGGGGAAAAGUACGAGUAUACUCACAUUGGUUGCGUAUGGAAGUUUCUUGGGAUAACGCACGAAUGGAGAAAAUCCAAAUAACGAACGGGAAACGAUUACCCUAUAUUUUGAAAUAUACAAUGAACUCGUUAAAAUUUAUGAAUAAUCCUUCUUUUUAUUGUUUCUAAUUAGAUUAGAUGUUAUAAUUUCCUCGCUAUUAAUGUUUAGUGUU
Molecule: long non-coding RNA, 450 nt
Filed under: Helianthus annuus (common sunflower)
Lineage: Eukaryota; Viridiplantae; Streptophyta; Magnoliopsida; Asterales; Asteraceae
Source: RNAcentral